This is a long non-coding RNA of Dendrobium catenatum, 552 nucleotides long. RefSeq lists it as uncharacterized. The record is from RefSeq and is a predicted model, not a curated record. The transcript has 2 exons. NCBI's taxonomy places the organism in Eukaryota, Viridiplantae, Streptophyta, Magnoliopsida, Asparagales, Orchidaceae.
CCCUUUCUAUACAGGUCCUUCUGGUUUUCUCUAUUCUUGUUGGAACCAGCACAUGGGUUGAUCUUUUGGGGGUGAUAGCAGGCCAUGCUUAUUAUUACCUCGAAGAUGUUUAUCCCCGAAUGACAGGUCGGCGACCCCUCAAGACUCCCAGUUUCAUCAAAGCUUUGUUUGCAGAUGAUAAUGUUGUUGUAGCCCGGCCAGGAAAUGCCCAAUUUGCUGCCCCUCCCCUGCAGGAACCCCAUCAAGAUUAAUCAUAUUUUCACGGUUGUUUAUAGUUCCAAGCUUUUAUAAUAUAUUAUUGCUAUUCCAAGUCAGUUAUAUUUAUCUGGAGGCAUAUAUUUUCUCUGAUGUUGGCCACUGAUUUCUCUUAAUGUGGGGUUGGUUUGGUCCAUGAAUAGAUGGUUUAUGAGGUUUGAUUGGUUUUAGUCUUCUGUAUAUAAUGUCACAAAUUCCUUUUUUUUUUGGGUCCUUAAGAACUGAAUUCUGGGUAUUCUAUGUGUAAAUGCUCAUUCUAAUAACAACAAACUGACUUCUUUCGAGUUGUUUUUGGAA